AGAUGGAGCAAGCUUGUUUUCUCUGGCUCCAGAAGGUAGGACCUGAACCAAUGGCUUCAAGUAACAAGAAGGUUCUGACUAAGCAUCAGGAAGAAUUUUCUGACGAUCUGUUCCACAAUAUGUGUAACCAUUGUCAUGUCACAUUAAAAGGAGCAUCUGUGUGCUUUUAGAGCUCUAGUCUGAGAAGUCUGGUGAAGAGUUGGGUUCUGAAAUAGAAGAGCACAGAGGGCAGCAGCUGUGACAUGCAGCAUUGCCCAGUCUUAUUCCACCUGCAGGAGGUGAAUUUGCAGAUGGACAGAGAUGAUUAUCUGGCUGUGGGAUGCUGUGGAGCGAUAAUAAGGCAAGUUCACUUGCUGAGAGGGACCGCAGCUUGAAGGGGGCUGAUACCCAGUGUCAGAGGCUGGUUGGUGUCUAGCGGCGGACCUUGUGGAAGCUGGCAGAUGUUGGUGGGUGGAAGCUGGUGGAAUUCACAUUCAGAAGCUAAUAGAUGCUGUAAGGCUGAAGCAGUCUGGUGUUUGUCUUUGGGAGCUGGUGAGUAUUUGUGGGUUGGAGUCAGGGCACAUUUGUGAAUGGAUGGAGAACGAUGAGGGAAUGUACCUGUUGAUGUCCUCCACA
Zootoca vivipara (common lizard) is the source of this 615-nucleotide non-coding RNA. Lineage: Eukaryota; Metazoa; Chordata; Lepidosauria; Squamata; Lacertidae. The record is from RefSeq and is a predicted model, not a curated record.